AAUCAACGCUGGCGGCGUGCCUAACACAUGCAAGUCGAACGCGAAAGUCCCGCAAGGGAUGAGUAGAGUGGCAAACGGGUGAGUAACGCGUGGGUGACCUGCCUUCGAGUGGGGGAUAACGUUCCGAAAGGGACGCUAAUACCGCAUGACAUCCUGCCUUUGAAGAGGCGGAGAUCAAAGCCGGGGAUCGCAAGACCUGGCGCUUGACGAGGGGCCCGCGUCUGAUUAGCAGUUGGUGGGGUAAUGGCUCACCAAGGCAACGAUCAGUAUCCGGCCUGGGAGGGCGGACGGACACACUGGGACUGAGGCACGGCCCAGACUCCUACGGGAGGCAGCAGUGGGGAAUUGUUCGCAAUGGGCGCAAGCCUGACGACGCAACGCCGCGUGGAGGAUGAAGACCUUC
This 403-nucleotide ribosomal RNA is filed under the name uncultured bacterium. RNAcentral describes it as "bacterial SSU rRNA". It matches the Rfam family "Bacterial small subunit ribosomal RNA", at positions 29 to 419 of the family's 1533-position model. The record is from RNAcentral.